This 374-nucleotide ribosomal RNA is filed under the name uncultured Gaiellaceae bacterium. Its description in RNAcentral is "bacterial SSU rRNA". It matches the Rfam family "Bacterial small subunit ribosomal RNA", at positions 524 to 896 of the family's 1533-position model. Lineage: Bacteria; Bacillati; Actinomycetota; Thermoleophilia; Gaiellales; Gaiellaceae. The record is from RNAcentral.
UACGUAGGGGGCAAGCGUUGUCCGGAUUUACUGGGCGUAAAGCGCGUGUAGGCGGCCACGCAGGUCCGUUGUGAAAACUGGAGGCUCAACUUCCAGACGUCGACGGAAACCGUGUGGCUAGAGUCCGGAAGAGGAGAGUGGAAUUCCUGGUGUAGCGGUGAAAUGCGCAGAUAUCAGGAAGAACACCAAUGGCGAAGGCAGCUCUCUGGGACGGUACUGACGCUGAGACGCGAAAGCGUGGGGAGCGAACAGGAUUAGAUACCCUGGUAGUCCACGCCGUAAACGAUGGGUGCUAGGUGUGGGAGGUGUCGACUCCUUCCGUGCCGUAGCUAACGCAUUAAGCACCCCGCCUGGGGAGUACGGCCGCAAGGCUA